RNAcentral lists this ribosomal RNA (253 nucleotides) under uncultured bacterium. RNAcentral describes it as "partial 16S ribosomal RNA". It matches the Rfam family "Bacterial small subunit ribosomal RNA", at positions 524 to 776 of the family's 1533-position model. The record is from RNAcentral.
UACAGAGGGGGCAAGCGUUGUUCGGAGUUACUGGGCGUAAAGGGCGCGUAGGCGGCCUGUUAAGUCGAACGUGAAAUCCCCGGGCUCAACCCGGGAACUGCGCCCGAUACUGGCAGGCUUGAAUCCGGGAGAGGGAUGCGGAAUUCCAGGUGUAGCGGUGAAAUGCGUAGAUAUCUGGAGGAACACCGGUGGCGAAGGCGGCAUCCUGGACCGGCAUUGACGCUGAGGCGCGAAAGCCAGGGGAGCAAACGGG